GUGGGGAAUAUUGGACAAUGGGCGAAAGCCUGAUCCAGCCAUGCCGCGUGUGUGAAGAAGGUCUUCGGAUUGUAAAGCACUUUAAGUUGGGAGGAAGGGCAGUAAGUUAAUACCUUGCUGUUUUGACGUUACCGACAGAAUAAGCACCGGCUAACUUCGUGCCAGCAGCCGCGGUAAUACGAAGGGUGCAAGCGUUAAUCGGAAUUACUGGGCGUAAAGCGCGCGUAGGUGGUUUUGUAAGUUGGAGGUGAAAUCCCCGGGCUCAACCUGGGAACUGCCUCCAAAACUGCAUGACUAGAGUACGGUAGAGGGUAGUGGAAUUUCCUGUGUAGCGGUGAAAUGUGUAGAUAUAGGAAGGAACACCAGUGGCGAAGGCGACUACCUGGACUGAUACUGACACUGAGGUGCGAAAGCGUGGGGAGCAAACAGGAUUAGAUACCCUUGUAGUCC
This 450-nucleotide ribosomal RNA is filed under the name uncultured bacterium. Its description in RNAcentral is "partial 16S ribosomal RNA". It matches the Rfam family "Bacterial small subunit ribosomal RNA", at positions 354 to 796 of the family's 1533-position model. The record is from RNAcentral.